AUGGACAAGAGUAGAUCAGAGACGAACAAUGCUUUUGGUGGCUCCAAUAGUCAGAGGAACCACCUGUCUUCAUAUCCUCAAGAAACUUCAGACCGCGAAGAGAAAGCCAAGAAAGUGUCGCCACCUCGUGGGAAAGGGCUGCGGGAAGAAAAACCAGAUAGACCACCACAAAACUUGUCUUCAUAUGCCAAAGAAACUUCAGACCGUGAAGAGAAAGUGAAGAAAGUGUCGCCACCUCGUGGGAAAGGGCUGCGGGAAGAAAAACCGGAUAGACCACCACAAAACUUGUCUUCAUAUGCCAAAGAAACUUCAGACCGUGAAGAGAAAGUGUCUCCACCUCGUGGGAAAGUGUUGCGGGAAGAGAAACCAGAUAGACCACCACAAAACUUGUCUUCAUAUCCCCAAGAAACUUCAGACCGUGAAGAGAAAGCCAAGAAAGUGUCACCACCUCGUGGGAAAGGGCUGCGGGAAGAAAAACCAGACAGACCACAAAACUUGUCUAAAAGAGAGGUCAGGUCGUCAGACAUCCCUACCUUUACAAACUUCAGGCAGAACACAAGUGAAACUGUU
Molecule: long non-coding RNA, 570 nt
Filed under: Brassica napus (rape)
Lineage: Eukaryota; Viridiplantae; Streptophyta; Magnoliopsida; Brassicales; Brassicaceae
Description: long non-coding RNA (BNAP_LNC017865)
Source: RNAcentral